AUUGAACGCUAGCGAUAGGCUUAACACAUGCAAGUCGAGGGCCCGGCGCACGGGUGCGUAACGCGUAUGCACCUUGCCUCACAGGGGGGGAUAACCCGUCGAAAGACGGACUAAUACCGCGUACUGUGCGAUAGGCAUGCGUCCCAUUAGCUAGUUGGUGAGGUAACGGCUCACCAAGGCAACGAUGGGUAGGGGAACUGAGAGGUUGCACCCCCACGAUUGUACUGAGGCCCGGACCAGACUCCUACGGGAGGCAGCAGUGAGGAAGAUUGGUCAAUGGGCGAGAGCCUGAACCAGCCAAGUCGCGUGAAGGAUGACUGGCUAUGGAUUGUAAACUUCUUUUGUAGGGGAAUAUGUACCCUACGAAUAAGCAUCGGCUAACUCCGUGCCAGCAGCCGCGGUAAUAC
RNAcentral lists this ribosomal RNA (407 nucleotides) under uncultured bacterium. RNAcentral's name for it is "partial 16S ribosomal RNA". It matches the Rfam family "Bacterial small subunit ribosomal RNA", at positions 30 to 526 of the family's 1533-position model. The record is from RNAcentral.